GUUACCAUCUAAAGCCUAGUUUUCAUUUGGUCGUUAGUUGUCGCUGGCACGACAAGUGGCUGAUGUAAUAGAGUGUCAACAAAACUUUAUAAAACUCUGCAAUCAUUAAGACUGAUUUGCAUAUAAGACACAAAAAGACUAUUGAUAUUAGACUAUUUCACAUCUACCGCUUGUCGUGCCAGCGACAACUAACGACCAAAUGGAAACUAGGCUUAACAAGUGGAAGG
Molecule: microRNA precursor, 227 nt
Filed under: Paramuricea clavata
Lineage: Eukaryota; Metazoa; Cnidaria; Anthozoa; Malacalcyonacea; Plexauridae
Source: RNAcentral